This 62-nucleotide transfer RNA is filed under the name Paratapes textilis (textile venus clam). RNAcentral's name for it is "Paphia textile (textile venus clam) tRNA-Leu". The record is from RNAcentral. Lineage: Eukaryota; Metazoa; Mollusca; Bivalvia; Venerida; Veneridae.
GUUAGGGUGUCAGAUAAAUGUGCUAAAUUUAGGAUUUAGCUAUGGGUGUAACCCCCCUAAUA